GACGGAGGGGGCAAGCGUUGUUCGGAAUUAUUGGGCGUAAAGGGCUCGUAGGCGGACGGGUAAGUCUGGCGUGAAAUCUCCACCGCUCACCGGGGAGAGGCCGCUGGAUACUGCCUGUCUGGAGUUUGGCAGAGGACCAUGGAAUUCCAGGUGUAGCGGUGGAAUGCGUAGAUAUCUGGAAGAACACCGGUGGCGAAGGCGGUGGUCUGGGCCAAAACUGACGCUGAGGAGCGAAAGCCAGGGGAGCAAACGGGAUUAGAUACCCCGGUAGUCCUGGCCGUAAACGUUGGAUACUAGGUGUGGGGGGUAUCGACCCCCUCCGUGCCGAAGUUAACACAUUAAGUAUCCCGCCUGGGGAGUACGGCCGCAAGGUUGAA
This 377-nucleotide ribosomal RNA is filed under the name uncultured bacterium. RNAcentral describes it as "bacterial SSU rRNA". It matches the Rfam family "Bacterial small subunit ribosomal RNA", at positions 524 to 898 of the family's 1533-position model. The record is from RNAcentral.